CUUGCUCUGGUUGAUCAGUGGCGAACGGGUGAGUAACACGUGAGUAACCUGCCCUUGACUCUGGGAUAACUCCGGGAAACCGGGGCUAAUACCGGAUACGAGACGCGACCGCAUGGUCGGCGUCUGGAAAGUUUUUCGGUCAAGGAUGGACUCGCGGCCUAUCAGCUUGUUGGUGAGGUAAUGGCUCACCAAGGCGUCGACGGGUAGCCGGCCUGAGAGGGCGACCGGCCACACUGGGACUGAGACACGGCCCAGACUCCUACGGGAGGCAGCAGUGGGGAAUAUUGCACAAUGGGCGAAAGCCUGAUGCAGCGACGCCGCGUGAGGGAUGAAGGCCUUCGGGUUGUAAACCUCUUUCAGUAGGGAAGAAGCGAAAGUGACGGUACCUGCAGAAGAAGCGCCGGCUAACUACGUGCCAGCAGCCGCGGUAAUACGUAGGGCGCAAGCGUUGUCCGGAAUUAUUGGGCGUAAAGAGCUCGUAGGCGGUUUGUCGCGUCUGGUGUGAAAACUCAAGGCUCAACCUUGAGCUUGCAUCGGGUACGGGCAGACUAGAGUGUGGUAGGGG
This 565-nucleotide ribosomal RNA is filed under the name Sanguibacter inulinus. RNAcentral describes it as "bacterial SSU rRNA". It matches the Rfam family "Bacterial small subunit ribosomal RNA", at positions 79 to 657 of the family's 1533-position model. Lineage: Bacteria; Bacillati; Actinomycetota; Actinomycetes; Micrococcales; Sanguibacteraceae. The record is from RNAcentral.